AGAGUUUGAUCCUGGCUCAGGACGAACGCUGGCGGCGUGCCUAAUGCAUGCAAGUCGAGCGACGCGCACUACGGUGCGACGGAGCGGCGAACGGGUGAGUAACACGUGAGCAACCUGCCCUGAAGACCGGAAUAGCCCGGGGAAACCCGGUGUAAUGCCGGAUACACUCCCGAUACCGCAUGGUAUGGGAGAAAACGCCUUUGUGCUUCAGGAUGGGCUCACGGCCUAUCAGCUAGUUGGUGAGGUAACGGCUCACCAAGGCGACGACGGGUAGCUGGUCUGAGAGGACGAUCAGCCACACUGGGACUGAGACACGGCCCAGACUCCUACGGGAGGCAGCAGCAGGGAAUAUUGCGCAAUGGGCGAAAGCCUGACGCAGCGACGCCGCGUGGGGGAUGAAUGCCUUCGGGUUGUAAACCCCUUUCAGGAGGGAAGAAAUUGACGGUACCUCCAAAAGAAGCCCCGGCCAACUACGUGCCAGCAGCCGCGGUAAGACGUAGGGGGCAAGCGUUGUCCGGAAUCAUUGGGCGUAAAGGGCUCGUAGGCGGCUCGGUAAGUUGAUCGUGAAAUCCCGGAGCUCAACUCCGGAACUGCGGUCGAUACUGCCGUGGCUAGAGUCAGGUAGAGGAGAGUAGAAUUCCCGGUGU
RNAcentral lists this ribosomal RNA (647 nucleotides) under uncultured Actinomycetes bacterium. RNAcentral's name for it is "bacterial SSU rRNA". It matches the Rfam family "Bacterial small subunit ribosomal RNA", at positions 8 to 676 of the family's 1533-position model. Lineage: Bacteria; Bacillati; Actinomycetota; Actinomycetes. The record is from RNAcentral.